GUUCUCGUCUUCAGUGACGGUUUAUAUGGCAGAGUCAGCGUGGGCGAAUGAUGCCUGCCGUGUGCUGGCUUCGUUGAGAUGACAAUCUCUGUGCCAUUUGGUUUGAAUGGACUCUUGAUAAGCUACUUCAAGUCAGUCACUUCAGUGCAUCUGUGUAAAUCUACGACUGACUUUCUUCUUCACACAUAAUUAUACUAUCUGGGUUUUUGUUAAAAAUUCAUUUUCUUAAAUUAAAAGUGUUAAUUGCUUAGAUUCUAACUUGAAAGAAGAUACUUCAGAUCCUGCCAGCCUCACUUGUUACAGAUAUGCCUCCCUUUCCUACUAAACACUAGGAGCAUGGUAACUCCCUUCCACUGACGUCACAGUGGAAAGCUCUGUGCUGUUUUCAUGUACACAUGUGGGCGGUGUUUUGCCCACAGGGAUAGCCCAAAGAGUUACCUCUGUUCUUCUGCUAAUCUAAGUGCCCUGUAUUACUGAAUUGACCAGACAGCUAGCUAUAGAAAUCUUAAUUUUCUAGAUAACCAGGAAAGACAUGAACCCAGGAUUCACUGCCAGCAGUGUUCUUUCAUGCAUUUGAGAGCACUUACCUUAGAAAUUGUGUGUACAGAAUUGUUUGAUUGUCUCACUGCACAAGUGUAAAACACCAGCACGCUUUUGUGGGCUCCUAUUCCUCUAUUAAGACAGAGUCUCCUUGAUUCGCCCACACUGGCCGCAAACCUGUAAUCCUCUUGCGUCAGCUUCCAUGAUUGCUGGAGUUGGAGGUGUGUGUCAGCAGGCUCAGCUUGUGUUUGUUUGUUUGUUGUUUUUUAAUUUUUGUUUUGAUAUUGUGGUAUCUCUCCCUCAGCUUAAAUUAAACCAGACCAAAGAGAACUUGUUUUCAUUAAAGCAUUAUUUUAUUAUGAAAAUAUUCCUAGGUGUUAUCACUGUGAAAUGAAGAAAAGUAUUCAUGCUUGGGAAAUUAUGAGUGAUCUGGCAUUACCAGGACUGCAGUAGAGUCCUACUUUAUUGGAUAAGGUUUUCCGACCCGAUUGUAAGUCUAUAGACAGUUGCAAAAUCUGAUUAAUAAAUUUAAACCAAAGGGCUUUUCCUUUACUCUUGCUUCUGAUCCUUCUAGUAUAGCAAAUUGUUUCUCCUUUCAUAGGCAGUAGAACAAACAGGAAGUGCCUGUUACGUUGAGAUGACUUGAACUGACCUUUUGUGCUGUAGCUGUUAGAUACUAAAAACAAAACACUGAGUCUGUUACAGCAACGCCUGACUUUUUAAAUGCUAUCAGAUCAUAGCACUUACAUGGGUGUCCUGUGAUCAUUGCUGUAGCUGGUGCCUUCCUGGUCCUUUAUUGACUUGCCUUAAUGAUUUUCACAGAAGCCUGAGAGCGGAAGCUUCUUGUGGCCUACUGCAGUGUGAUGAAGGAGUCUUGGGUUCCGUGUAAAGCAAGCUUGUGUUCUGUAUCAUUAGAGACAAAUUCAUUACCGUCUUCAUACCUGUCCAGCUGAUGUCAUUCUACUCUGCUCUAGGGACACUCAGUGUGACCCACUUUAGGUAGUGAAAUGUAUCAUUUUUCCUAUUACUGUAAAAAGAAGUUGUGAACCUUCUUGUUGAUGAACUCUGGUUUUCCUCUCAAUUUCUUAAAACAUUGCUUGAAGAUUGUCUGAGUGUAAGACUGCCUUCUCAGAAAGGGAGAGUUAGUUUGUAAUAUUAAAAAAAAAAUAAAGUCUUCAUGAAAUAAAACUUGGAA
RNAcentral lists this long non-coding RNA (1735 nucleotides) under Rattus norvegicus (Norway rat). Its description in RNAcentral is "long non-coding RNA NONRATT023869". Lineage: Eukaryota; Metazoa; Chordata; Mammalia; Rodentia; Muridae. The record is from RNAcentral.